UUGACCUCGGAUCAGGUAGGAAUACCCGCUGAACUUAAGCAUAUCAAUAAGCGGAGGAAAAGAAACCAACAGGGAUUGCCUCAGUAACGGCGAGUGAAGCGGCAACAGCUCAAAUUUGAAAUCUGGCCUCUUCGGGGUCCGAGUUGUAAUUUGUAGAGGAUGUUUCGGGUACCGCCUCGGUUUAAAUUUCUUGGAACAGAAUGUCAGAGAGGGUGAGAAUCCCGUCUUGGACCGGCGGUAGGGCCCAUGUGAAACUCCUUCGACGAGUCGAGUUGUUUGGGAAUGCAGCUCAAAAUGGGUGGUAAAUUUCAUCUAAAGCUAAAUAUUGGCCAGAGACCGAUAGCGCACAAGUAGAGUGAUCGAAAGAUGAAAAGAACUUUGAAAAGAGAGUUAAACAGUAUGUGAAAUUGUUGAAAGGGAAGCGCUUACAACCAGACUUGAGCGCGGCGGUUCCCCCUUCCUUUUGGUUGGGUUACUCCGCCGUGUCCAGGCCAACAUCGGUUCUGGGGGUCGGUUAAAGGCCUGGGGAAUGUAUCUACUCCUUCGGGGGUAGACUUAUAGCCCCGGGUGUCAUGCGACCACCCGGGACCGAGGAACGCGCUUCGGCUCGGAUGUUGGCGUAAUGGUUGUCAGCGACCCGUCUUGAAACACGGACCAAGGAGUCUAACAUCUAUGCGAGUGUUUGGGUGUCAAACCCGGAACGCGAAAUGAAAGUGAACGGAGGUAGGAAGCCUUUAGGCUGCACUAUCGACCGAUCCUGAUGUCUUCGGAUGGAUUUGAGUAAGAGCAUAGCUGUUGGGACCCGAAAGAUGGUGAACUAUGCCUGAAUAGGGUGAAGCCAGAGGAAACUCUGGUGGAGGCUCGCAGCGGUUCUGACGUGCAAAUCGAUCGUCAAAUUUGGGUAUAGGGGCG
This 912-nucleotide ribosomal RNA is filed under the name Chaetothyriales sp. FGPMC6. Its description in RNAcentral is "eukaryotic LSU rRNA". It matches the Rfam family "Eukaryotic large subunit ribosomal RNA", at positions 1 to 925 of the family's 3401-position model. RNAcentral also lists the same sequence under 1 other name. Lineage: Eukaryota; Fungi; Ascomycota; Eurotiomycetes; Chaetothyriales. The record is from RNAcentral.